Molecule: ribosomal RNA, 201 nt
Filed under: uncultured bacterium
Lineage: Bacteria
Description: partial 16S ribosomal RNA
Rfam family: Bacterial small subunit ribosomal RNA
Source: RNAcentral
UGCGUAGGCGGGUUGGUAAGUCCGUGGUGAAAUCCCCAAGCUUACUUGGGAACUGCCGUGGAUACUAUCAAUCUUGAAUAUCGUGGAGGUAAGCGGAAUAUGUCAUGUAGCGGUGAAAUGCUUAGAUAUGACAUAGAACACCAAUUGCGUAGGCAGCUUACUACACGAUCAUUGACGCUGAGGCAAGACUGGGGAGCAAAC